GUUUGGAAGAAAAUGUCAGUGUAGCUCUGAGACCCUGAACAGAACACACACUCUUCUCAUCACAUCACAACUGCCAAUCAGACGGAGGGGAGGCGUCAACGAAGGUUAAAUAGAAAUAUUUUGGCCUGUAAGUGAACACAUCCGCUGCACGACUUUGAAGAGGAACAAAAAAGAAGUUUGCUCAUAAGAUCAUCCUUCAUCUUCUCUGGCUCUGCCCUGAGGACAGAAUGAUGUUGUGUUGGAUACUCAUAUCACUGUUUGUUGGAUUUCUUGAUGCACAAGAAAAACCCAUCGUAAUUUAUGCUCAAAUAGGAGGGACUGUUACCCUACAGAGAGUGAAGUUAGAAGGAAAUGAAAAUAAUAUUUAUGUGAACUGGUACCGUGGGUCAGAAAGUACCCCAACUAUCAUGAAGAAUCCUCAGAGUGGGAUCCAAAGGGCGAAAGAAAUGAAGACACAUGCUGAACUGUUGUCAGAUUUCUCUCUCCAAAUCUCACCAGUACAAUAUUCAGAUUAUGAAAUUUGGCGCUGUGUGCAACAUUUUUUGACACAAACUUCAGAAAAGACCUACAAACUGUACAAUGUCACUAUACCCAAAGUGCCGGCUGUGGUGGCUGGUGAACCUCUGACUCUGCAAUGUCAAAUAGACUAUAGUCCACUUACACCCAAAGUAACAUGGAUUCCACCUCAAAACUCAGGUUGUGUUCUAAGCCAAUAUAACACAAAGACAGUUACCAUCAGUGAUGUGUCUAGGUGUCAUAGUGGUGUUUGGACGUGCAAGUUGGUGUAUGAUAAGAGAGAAACUGAAGCAAAAACAACUGUUUUUGUAAUAGAGUUCUCCAAUGUUACAAGUACUGUUUAUACCUCGUCCCCGUUCUCGUCCGCUACAGUUGACAUUCCUUGUUCCUUGUCUUCUAACAUUCCCUGGUCGAUCUUGAAAGAAUCUGGCCUCAGGAGUGGCAGCUGGAGCUUCACUCCUCUCAGCGGCGCAAAGUCAACACAAUCUCUCCUGGACCUCAGAUUGGAUCCAGUGGUCAGUUGGCGCAUCCCACAGGGCGCAAAUAAUACGGUCAAGGCUGAGGAAAGAAAGUUGAAAGACCAGGAUCUAUCCAUUGGUAAUCUGCCUGUAUCAGAGAACGUCAGGGGGGUUUACACAUGCAAUCUAAAAAUUAAGACCAAGACCCUUAGCAGCAGAGUCAAGCUGGAGGUUCUGAAGGUUUCCUCUUCUGGAGGACCUCGAGUAUUUGAAGGCCAAACUGUGAAUCUGACAUGCACACUAGGACGUCAACAUAGCCCUGACCUCGAGGUGAAAUGGAGCUGCUCGUCUUGCUCCUUUGUUUCCAGUCUCAAGUCUCCUCAUCCAACUUUUCUGUCCAUCCCUGAAGUGAAAUUGAAGGACGGCGGGAAAUGGACAUGUGAACUCUUGGGAAAUGGGACGAAGCUGACAUCUGCUGUGCUUUCAUUAAGGAUUGUGAAAGCUCCCGUGGACAUCUGGCUUUGUGUUGCCAUCAGCGGUGGAGUGGUGGGCUUCAUCUUGCUCCUUGUGAUCAUCAUUAUAUGCAUUCGCAGACACAGACAGAUGAUGAUGUACAGACGACGCAAAACCAAAUUCUGCUGCUGCAAUAAUCCCCAGCAGAAUCAAAAGGGAUUCUACAAGACGUGAGGAUCCUCUCUUGCCAGAACUGACUGUCAUCAUUUUGCAGAUGAUGCUGGAAUUUCUUUAUAAUUGUGUCAAAUACUUUCAUAGCCACUUUAUUCUUGAACAUGCUUGAUCACAAGCAAUGUUAU
RNA transcript from Carassius carassius (crucian carp), 1786 nucleotides. It is a transcript of the gene named CD4-1 molecule, with no coding region annotated. Lineage: Eukaryota; Metazoa; Chordata; Actinopteri; Cypriniformes; Cyprinidae. The transcript is spliced from 12 exons. The record is from RefSeq and is a predicted model, not a curated record.